RNAcentral lists this ribosomal RNA (654 nucleotides) under uncultured rumen protozoa. Its description in RNAcentral is "bacterial SSU rRNA". It matches the Rfam family "Eukaryotic small subunit ribosomal RNA", at positions 298 to 1029 of the family's 1831-position model. The record is from RNAcentral.
UCACCGGGGGGGAUUGAUUACUCUCGAUGGUACUGCAUGGAUACCAUGGAUUUCGUGGAUAACUGGGACCUAGGGUUCGAUUCUGGAGCAGGAGCCUGAGAGGGGCUACUACAUCUUACGGAAGGCAGCAUGCGCGUAAAUUACCCAUUCCUGACUCAGGAAGGUGGUGACAACAUAUAACUACGCCCUCUAAUUGUGACUGUAGUGAGGGUAUUCCAUACCGAACCACUAGCACGAUCAGAGGGCAAGUCUGGUGCCAGCAGCCGCGGUAUUCCAGCUCUAAUAGCGCAUAUUAUAGUUGCUGCAAUUAAAAGCUCGUAUUUGGAUUUCAAUAUGGAUCACUCAUUCCUAUGGAAUGUGUACCCUACUCCCUCUAUUGGAUGUUACUGUGAGAUGAUUAUAGCGUUUAAGCAGGCUCAUGCUCGAUUACUUUACGCGAGGAACACGACAGAGACACAAGAGAGGAAGAAGCGCCGGCCCGAUCUACUAAUGACAGCUGGAGGGCAUCUAUCACUCCAGUCGUCCCAUGUCGUAUAGUCUGGACUUGGUAGAUGACUACCGGAUGCGACAACCCUCUCGCCCACGGAUGUCUUUCCUUGGUCGAGGACGUACGAUCAGGGAUCUUAGACUAUCGGAUUGCUGACGUAGUCCUAC